Pundamilia nyererei is the source of this 1599-nucleotide RNA transcript. RefSeq lists it as uncharacterized. Lineage: Eukaryota; Metazoa; Chordata; Actinopteri; Cichliformes; Cichlidae. The transcript has 4 exons. The record is from RefSeq and is a predicted model, not a curated record.
UGCACUGCAGGGAGAUGCAGUAUAAGACAUGGACUCCAGUGCAUGGAUCUGUCAUGGUGCUGGAUCUAAAGUAGAGCCAUAUGGAGAGUGCCAGCCCAUUAGCUGGAGCACAAGGAGGUCAGCCAUGACAUUCUGAUGGAUGAGCAUGCAUGCACAGAUCAGGGGCUGUGCUCUACUCUCUGCUCAGAGACCGAGCUCACCUGUCACCAUUCACCCUCAGACUCCCUCCCUGCAGCCACUCAAACCUUUUGACCAGCCAUCCUUUGGCACGCUCAGUGGCCACACUCCACCCACCUCAUCAUCGCCAUCCUGUGAUUUCAGAGAUUAUACAUCUGACGCUCGCUUAGUUCCAGACUGUCUCUCUGUGUCCGACAUGUGUGAGAGCCCAGCGGACUGUGCUCUGCAUCCAGAUGAUUUCGGCCUUCUGUUGCAGCCACAAGAGGGCAGCGUUGUCCAACUGCAUCAUGAUGCUCCUGACUUAUCCACACAUACCAGUGUUUUUAAUCCCAGCCAGUCUCCCACAUCCCUAGAGCCUAACCAGUAUAGCGAAAGUGAGCAGGUGGAGAUCAGUAUUCUGGCCCAGCAGAUCUCCUCGCUGGCCAGCAGGUUUGACCGGCAUCACACUGUGAAUCCCUAUCAGCAUGUGGUCCAAACUACAGCCACCAACACGAUGCCCUCAGCCUGUGACUGGCCCCCUAAUUCUCCUCCCCCCUCAGUUCGUCUUCCCAAUCCUGCACUGGUUCUUGAUGUUGCCAUGUUUGACAGCUUCAUGAAAGAUCUGAACAUGUUCACAAGAAAAAGCAGCACAUUGAGCGAUACCAACUACCAGCAGGGCUUAGUGUGCAGCAGGAACGGGCACCAUCCCCAUCAGGAGCAGCAGGAGCACAUUGGCUUCAUUGCAGAGGAGCUGCUGGCUGCAGAGCACUUCACCGUGGGCAGCAUCGCCAUAGAUCCCAUCAGUAUGCAGCUGGGACGCCAUGAUCAAACCACUGGGUUGCUUCAACAUCAUCUCUACUAAACAGUCCACCCUAAUGAGAUGGCACAUGACAGUUGUCGGGUACAGAUGGUGCUGAGACUCCAGUUCGUGGAUCUGUCAUGGUGCCGGAUCUAUAGUGGAGACAAAGAGUGAGUGACAGAUCAGCUGCCUUGCAUGGCUUCACCCUCAUCACCAGCACACAGGGCACGCUGGUCUGUGCUUGAGAAAGUGUAGCUGAAUAUCUCGGGCUUUCCACGGUGUAUGUACUGCGAGGAGACACGUGAUGACAUGGUGGGAUGUUCUGAUACUGAGAUUGUUAAAUCAAACCUGGACAUCGAAAGCAACAUAUUAUCAGAGCGGAGUUUUAUAUGUUGCAUGAAAUCCUCCAAGACCUUUAAGUUGGAACAUGGCAGCUGCUCCUCUACACUGGUCAGAGUUGAGGGAAGAUCUGGAAGCUUCCUCUGUGUGUCCUCCCUUACCAUCACCACCACUGAGCCACUGUUUGUCACUGUCUGCACCCCAGCAGUGAACUGCCUGAGGAGCACGGACUCUCAUGGACUGGAUAUGAGCUUUAUGAAGCUGUCAGUUAGCGUGUCUCCUUUGUUGGGGUAUUCAGCAGAGGA